Molecule: long non-coding RNA, 494 nt
Organism: Ahaetulla prasina
Lineage: Eukaryota; Metazoa; Chordata; Lepidosauria; Squamata; Colubridae
Exons: 4
Source: RefSeq, a predicted model, not a curated record
AGACCUAACAAACUGUAUGACUCUCCGGAACACAGAUUAUUUUUGUUCCAGUGUUCUUCUGACUGUAUCUAAAUCAUUGUAUCCUGAAAAGAAGUGGUGUGCAAUUUGGUUGUCAUCUAUUAUUGCUACUAGAAAGGAGAAAGCAUGGUUCAAGUUGUGAUGGAACUAAAUUAAGAAUUUCUUUCAAAUUUCUCAUAGGCGUUUUGAAUGUAUUCCGUUGUUGGAAGUGUACAAAUGACUGGCCUACUUCCCAGUGAUGACUGCUAAAAAUGUGCAUGCAAGAUACAAGUUGAAUAAGGCUCUUUUAUCCUAGAAGAGGAGGAGGACAUGUGGUUGUAUAGAUGUUACUGAGCAGGAAGUCACAUGAAGCUUUAAAAUGCUCAAUGACUGCUAGAUGUUAGCAAAGGCUUACCGAAAAGUCUAAUGGCUGCCUCUUAUUGUCUUUCUAAUCCUAACUCUGGAGGUCAGUGAGUUCUCCCAUGUAAUCUGUUUUA